Molecule: ribosomal RNA, 914 nt
Filed under: uncultured archaeon
Lineage: Archaea
Description: bacterial SSU rRNA
Rfam family: Archaeal small subunit ribosomal RNA
Source: RNAcentral
CCGACUGCUAUUUGGGUGAGGAUAAGCCAUGCGAGUCGAAUGGGAUACCUAAAAUUCCCAUGGCAAACUGCUCAGUAACACAUGAUCAACUUACCCUAUGGAGAAAAAUACCCUCGGGAAACUGAGGAUAAUGUUUCAUAGAUGAAAAGGCUUGGAAAAGUUUUUCAAUGAAAGGGAUAAGAAAAAUGGUUUUUAUCUGCCAUAGGAUAGGAUCGUGGUCGAUUAUGUUGUUGGCGAGGUAACGGCUCACCAAGCCGAUAAUCGAUAGGGGCCGUGAGAGCGGGAGCCCCGAGAUGGGUACUGAGACAACGACCCAGGCCUUACGAGGCGCAGCAGGCGCGGAACCUCCGCAAUACACGAAAGUGUGACGGGGUUACCCAAAGUGUUCUUAUAGAACUGUGGUAGGUGAGUAAUGUCCCCUACUAGAAAGGAGAGGGCAAGGCUGGUGCCAGCCGCCGCGGUAAAACCAGCUCUUCAAGUGGUCGGGAUAAUUAUUGGGCUUAAAGCGUCCGUAGCCGGUUUAGUAAGUUCCUGGUAAAAUCGGGUAGCUUAACUAUCCGCGUGCUAGGAAUACUGCUAUACUAGAGGGCGGGAGAGGUCUGAGGUACUACAGGGGUAGGGGUGACAUCUUAUAAUCCUUGUAGGACCACCAGUGGCGAAGGCGUCAGACUGGAACGCGCCUGACGGUGAGGGACGAAAGCCAGGGGAGCGAACCGGAUUAGAUACCCGGGUAGUCCUGGCCGUAAACGAUGCAUACUAGGUGAUGGUACGGCCAUGAGCCGUAUCAGUGCCGUAGGGAAACCGUUAAGUGUGCCGCCUGGGAAGUACGGUCGCAAGGCUAAAACUUAAAGGAAUUGGCGGGGGAGCACCACAAGGGGUGAAGCCUGCGGUUCAAUUGGAUUCAACGCCGAAGG